This is a non-coding RNA of Pelobates cultripes (western spadefoot toad), 206 nucleotides long. The record is from the annotation of a GenBank genome assembly. Lineage: Eukaryota; Metazoa; Chordata; Amphibia; Anura; Pelobatidae.
AGGAUACAUACCCAGACACACAUACAGAUACACAGAUACACACACAGAAACAUAUAUACAUACACUGACACACUUAAGGAUACAUACCCAGACACACAUACAGAUACACAGAUACACACACUGACAUACAGAUAUACACACACUGACACACAGAUACAUCUUGACACUGUCAGGUCUUACCUGAGGUGGGAGUCCGGUAGGCAGAG